Long non-coding RNA from Phyllostomus hastatus (greater spear-nosed bat), 358 nucleotides. RefSeq lists it as uncharacterized. The record is from RefSeq and is a predicted model, not a curated record. The transcript is spliced from 3 exons. Lineage: Eukaryota; Metazoa; Chordata; Mammalia; Chiroptera; Phyllostomidae.
UCCCCUUGUUGCCGGGUCCCAUGGCGACAGCUGCGCUCUCUGAGGUCAGUUUUCCCAGGAAAACGGGAACCCACGGCGUCCGGCGAGAUGGGAGCAGCCGCCCCUGCGGGUCCUGAGCGGCACCCUCACGCCCCGCUUCGAAGACACCCUUGACGUUACAAAUGGCUUUGAGGGGUUAUUAAGGGCAGCUCCGGAUGAGACCACCCCAGCACCCACACUGGUGUGUCUUCUGAUAAAACGGCUCUUUCUAUCAGGCGAGCCUUCCGCCACCAGGCGACGUGACGAGUUUGCAGAAGUGCCGGCCCCCUGUGAGAGCUCACAGGGCCAGCCCGCAGUGGGGCGGGGGAGGGAGGGGGCA